Molecule: ribosomal RNA, 254 nt
Filed under: uncultured bacterium
Lineage: Bacteria
Description: partial 16S ribosomal RNA
Rfam family: Bacterial small subunit ribosomal RNA
Source: RNAcentral
UACGUAGGGUGCGAGCGUUAAUCGGAAUUACUGGGCGUAAAGCGUGCGCGAGGCGGUUUUGUAAGCCAGAUGUGAAAUCCCCGGGCUCAACCUGGGAAUGGCAUUUGGGACUGCAAGGCUGGAGUGCGGCAGAGGAGACUGGAAUUCCUGGUGUAGCGGUGAAAUGCGCAGAUAUCAGGAAGAACACCAGUGGCGAAGGCGGCUCACUGGCCCGAGUACUGACGCUGAGGCACGAAGCGUGGGGAGCAAACAGG